RNAcentral lists this ribosomal RNA (301 nucleotides) under uncultured bacterium. RNAcentral describes it as "partial 16S ribosomal RNA". It matches the Rfam family "Bacterial small subunit ribosomal RNA", at positions 509 to 808 of the family's 1533-position model. The record is from RNAcentral.
CAGUAGCCGCGGGAAAACAGAGGAUGCAAGCGUUAUCCGGAAUUAUUGGGCGUAAAGCGAGCGCAGGCGGUUAGAUAAGUCUGAAGUUAAAGGCUGUGGCUUAACCAUAGUACGCUUUGGAAACUGUUUAACUUGAGUGCAAGAGGGGAGAGUGGAAUUCCAUGUGUAGCGGUGAACUGCGUAGAUAUAUGGAGGAACACCGGUGGCGAAAGCGGCUCUCUGGCUUGUAACUGACGCUGAGGCUCGAAAGCGUGGGGAGCAAACAGGAUUAGAUACCCGCGUAGUCCCUGUCUCUUAUACA